AGCGAACGCUGGCGGCAGGCCUAACACAUGCAAGUCGAACGAACUCUUCGGAGUUAGUGGCGGACGGGUGAGUAACACGUGGGAACGUGCCUUUAGGUUCGGAAUAACUCAGGGAAACUUGUGCUAAUACCGACUGUGCCCUUCGGGGGAAAGAUUUAUCGCCUUUAGAGCGGCCCGCGUCUGAUUAGCUAGUUGGUGAGGUAAAGGCUCACCAAGGCGACGAUCAGUAGCUGGUCUGAGAGGAUGAUCAGCCACAUUGGGACUGAGACACGGACCAAACUCCUACGGGAGGCAGCAGUGGGGAAUCUUGCGCAAUGGGCGAAAGCCUGACGCAGCCAUGCCGCGUGAAUGAUGAAGGUCUUAGGAUUGUAAAAUUCUUUCACCGGGGACGAUAAUGACGGUAACCGGAGAAGAAGCCCCGGCUAACUUCGUGCCAGCCGCCGCGGUAA
RNAcentral lists this ribosomal RNA (449 nucleotides) under uncultured bacterium. RNAcentral's name for it is "partial 16S ribosomal RNA". It matches the Rfam family "Bacterial small subunit ribosomal RNA", at positions 29 to 523 of the family's 1533-position model. The record is from RNAcentral.